GUCUAAGUAUAAGCAAUUAUACCGUGAAACUGCGAAUGGCUCAUUAAAUCAGUUAUCGUUUAUUUGAUAGUACCUUACUACUUGGAUAACCGUGGUAAUUCUAGAGCUAAUACAUGCUAAAAACCCCAACUUCGGGAGGGGUGUAUUUAUUAGAUAAAAAACCAAUGCCCUUCGGGGCUCCUUGGUGAUUCAUGAUAACUUCUCAGAUCGCAUAGCCUUGUGCUGGCGACGGUUCAUUCAAAUUUCUGCCCUAUCAACUUUCGAUGGUAAGGUAUUGGCUUACCAUGGUUUCAACGGGUAACGGGGAAUUAGGGUUCGAUUCCGGAGAGGGAGCCUGAGAAACGGCUACCACAUCCAAGGAAGGCAGCAGGCGCGCAAAUUACCCAAUUCCGAUACGGAGAGGUAGUGACAAUAAAUACUGAUACAGGGCUCUUUUGGGUCUUGUAAUUGGAAUGAGUACAAUUUAAACCUCUUAACGAGGAACAAUUGGAGGGCAAGUCUGGUGCCAGCAGCCGCGGUAAUUCCAGCUCCAAUAGCGUAUAUUAAAGUUGUUGCAGUUAAAAAGCUCGUAGUUGAACCUUUGGCCUGGCUGGCAGGUCCGCCUCACCGCGUGCACUUGUCCGGCCG
Molecule: ribosomal RNA, 627 nt
Filed under: Phaeosphaeriaceae sp. W8
Lineage: Eukaryota; Fungi; Ascomycota; Dothideomycetes; Pleosporales; Phaeosphaeriaceae
Description: SSU rRNA
Rfam family: Eukaryotic small subunit ribosomal RNA
Source: RNAcentral